Molecule: ribosomal RNA, 937 nt
Filed under: Rentonellum sp. G0300
Lineage: Eukaryota; Metazoa; Arthropoda; Insecta; Coleoptera; Rentoniidae
Description: SSU rRNA
Rfam family: Eukaryotic small subunit ribosomal RNA
Source: RNAcentral
UUGUCUCAAAGAUUAAGCCAUGCAUGUCUCAGUACAAGCCAAAUUAAGGUGAAACCGCGAAAGGCUCAUUAAAUCAGUUAUGGUUCCUUAGAUCGUACCCACAUUUACUUGGAUAACUGUGGUAAUUCUAGAGCUAAUACAUGCAAACAGAGUCCCGACCGGAAACGGAAGGGACGCUUUUAUUAGAUCAAAACCAAUCGGUGACGGGUUUCGGCUCGUCAUCGUACAACUUGGUGACUCUGAAUAACUUUAUGCUGAUCGCACGGUCUCGCACCGGCGACGCAUCUUUCAAAUGUCUGCCUUAUCAACUGUCGAUGGUAGGUUCUGCGCCUACCAUGGUUGUAACGGGUAACGGGGAAUCAGGGUUCGAUUCCGGAGAGGGAGCCUGAGAAACGGCUACCACAUCCAAGGAAGGCAGCAGGCGCGCAAAUUACCCACUCCCGGCACGGGGAGGUAGUGACGAAAAAUAACGAUACGGGACUCAUCCGAGGCCCCGUAAUCGGAAUGAGUACACUCUAAAUCCUUUAACAAGGAUCAAUUGGAGGGAAAGUCUGGUGCCAGCAGCCGCGGUAAAUCCAGCUCCAAUAGCGUAUAUUAAAGUUGUUGCGGUUAAAAAGCUCGUAGUCGAACUUGUGUCCCACGCCGCCGGUUCAUCGCUCGCGGUGUUAACUGGCGUGUCGCGGGACGUCCUGCCGGUGGGCUUAGCUCGCAAGGGCGGCCCAACUCAAUCCCGCCGCGGUGCUCUUCACUGAGUGUCGAGGUGGGCCGGCACGUUUACUUUGAACAAAUUAGAGUGCUUAAAGCAGGCUAAAAUUUUGCCUGAAUAUUCUGUGCAUGGAAUAAUGAAAUAGGACCUCGGUUCUAUUUUGUUGGUUUUCGGAACCCCGAGGUAAUGAUUAAUAGGAACUGAUGGGGGCAUUCGUAUUGCGACGUUAGA